GUGAGUCUGAGGGGACAGGAAGCUGUUUUAUCUGAAAGUCUGACUUCACCAUUUCAGAAAAGAAACCAUCCUGAGCAAGUCCAGAAAGACGGCAGGAGGAAGAUCCAACACCGUCUCCAUGACAACCAGGCCUCACAAUGGAUCCAAACGAUGACGAACAGACGAAGAACAGGACGGUUCUGAAGAAGAAAACGGAGCCCUUCAUCUCCUCACAUGAUUGACAGAUCUCUGCCUCUUCAGAGCGACCGUGUCUUCCGCCGCUCCAAGGUCCGCUCAGGUUCUGCUCAGGUGAGCCUUCACUCCUCCCAGAACCAGGACCAUAAGAAGAAACCGGGUCUGGACCAAUGGGUGCACAGAAGUCUUCUGCUCAUCAGUCACCAUUCCAGGUCUUUAAGCAUAAAUUCCCAGCAGAAACAUGAAUCAACGCUUUGAAGACGACGUCAUGAUCAUCCAUUUCUGAUGCAGACCCACGUCAAAGAGGUUUCUCUAUAUGUGGGGAAGAACCGGUGGGUUCUGGCCGCAGUCCGGGUUUGGAUCUCCACAGUGAGUCAGCAGAACCUCUCUGGAUGUUUCCUCAGGAGGGGACGGACGCUCCUGCUGCUUUAUGGCAUCCUAGACUCUGACCUAAAGGCCACGUUCUUCACCAGUGACUCACAGAGAGGGUCAGCCGUCAGCGGUUGGUCUUUGCAAGCAAACACGCACAUGCAGGCACGUGCACAUGCACGUGCACACGCACACAUGCAGCCAAGUUGGCAGGAUUUCAGAGAUCUCUUGUUCUUUGGUAACACUUACAGUCAACCUAUCAGCCGUUCAACUCAGGAAACAACUUUCAGCUUCAAGCAUUUGUGUCAAAAAGCCCAACAGAACCACAGGCUCCGCCCACAUAACCUUCUGUUUUCUGAUGAGAAAAUCCUCAAACGGUGAUGUUUCUUUUUGGGUCCAGUUUGUGCUGUUUGCUGUUUAUAUCAGUGAAAACUCCCUGACCCUCGGUGACCCCAGGGCACCCCGGGACUCUUUCAGAUUCUCCUCUUCAAUCACAGAAAUGGUUCAUAAAUGGGAUUUUUGCAGCUCUUUUGGUUUUUGGCUGUUUAAACUGACAUAAAUUGACUUUUGUUACAGCUUUUUUAGUGACUUACUUUAAUUUUAUUGCUUUUUCUCACAUAAUUAAAGGUUUCUACGGCUCCUGUAGGAAAACAAAAGUGACAAACAAACUCAACGUGGUUUAAUGAUUGGCACCACGCUGGUUCAAAAAGACGCGUGGUGACCCGGCGCUUGGUUUCUGGGAAGCCACGCCUCUUCUGCUCUCUCCACCUGUGCUGCCUGUGGGUUUUCCAUCCCUGGAAAUGAAACCACAGGUGUGUGGUGACAUGUGACAGGAGGGCGGAGCACAGAGUGUAACUAGAGGUGACACCAGGAGAGAGGUGCAGGACUGCCGGAACGUCCUGCUGAGUCCAGACCCGGAAUGACCAGAACUUCCACAUCCAUCGUCCUGCAUCCAUUAAUGUUUGCGUUGGAGACCUCAGGCAUUUUAGUGUGUUUAGCGAUUAUGAUCAAAGCCUCCAUACCUCAUGUAGUUUUAUGUCUAAAACUAAUAAAUACAUAUUUAAAAAACUUA
Molecule: long non-coding RNA, 1615 nt
Organism: Oryzias latipes (Japanese medaka)
Lineage: Eukaryota; Metazoa; Chordata; Actinopteri; Beloniformes; Adrianichthyidae
Source: RefSeq, a predicted model, not a curated record